This 214-nucleotide long non-coding RNA is filed under the name Ailuropoda melanoleuca (giant panda). Its description in RNAcentral is "lncRNA (ENSAMEG00000028104.1)". Lineage: Eukaryota; Metazoa; Chordata; Mammalia; Carnivora; Ursidae. The record is from RNAcentral.
GGCUCCGCCCCACUCCGCCCCUUGCUCCCCUGGAAGGGAAGGCUUAGGGGCGGGGGCGGGGGCGUGGUCAAGCCGUAUAAGAACGGAGGGGGCGGCGGCAGGUCCGCUCACUCGGUGCCGCUGCUUGGGGGCUGUAGUGACCGUGCCGCUCCUGCUGGGGGCUGCCCACGCCAAGGACCUGCCUCUGUCGUCCCUCUUCCGCCGCCCAGUUUCC